Long non-coding RNA from Athalia rosae (coleseed sawfly), 882 nucleotides. RefSeq lists it as uncharacterized. NCBI's taxonomy places the organism in Eukaryota, Metazoa, Arthropoda, Insecta, Hymenoptera, Athaliidae. The transcript has 4 exons. The record is from RefSeq and is a predicted model, not a curated record.
AUUCACGUUAACACAAAUUACGUACCUGACUGUACCUUGUAACACCUGGUGGGGGUAAUUCAUACAAAAAUUUGAAUUGCAGAGCUUUCAUUGGACAGUGAGAAGUAAUAUCUAGAUGUCAACGGUUGUAGUGGGCAUUGGUAAUAGAUAGUAGCGUGGCUAAUUAUCUACGUUGUAAGUAAUUAUCUGGAGCAUUUGUUUUAUGCGUAAAUGCCUUUGCUCAUUACUUGCUCCGCAGGUGGCCUUUCAUGUAUGAAAUUGACACUCGACACAGUACAUUGAAUAAUAUCUCGUGAGUCUGUCAAACAAGAAUUAUCUCCCUUUUUGUUAUUCAGAGUCAAUUGUGUGACUCACCUUUAAUCUGCUCAGAAUACCCCGCAUGGACACAAAUGGUGUACUCAAUUCCAUGAGAUAGACAAAGCCAAAGACACAAUCACCUAGACCCCCACGUUGUUCCUUGAGAUAAAGUCGCACAUUGACUAUGUGACCAGCAUCAGAUUUUUGUUCUUUUUUGUGCUCUGAAGUGCUGGCAUGUACUCGAUACAUUGACCAGAUAUCGUAGAAGAAGUAGGAAGCUCCAAACCAAGCAUAAGCUUCGCUCAUAAAAUGUGAUGUAUGAAGGAACGAUCUUGUGCAAGACCACAUGCAAACGAUGGAUCCAGUGACACAACUUAGCGCAGCUUGCACUGCAGACACAACUCUGAAAACGAAAAGUCAUCAACUUUUAAUUGACUCCUUAGGUGCCGUGAGAUGGUAUUUCUUUCGAAGACGUAAACCAGUACGAGUCCUCAGCGCCAUGUGAUUGAGGAAGUCAAAAAGUGAGAGGAAAAAUAUGAAACCCAGGGCAGAUAAACAAGCGCCACGUCUUAAGCUAAUCCUAUC